AAACACACGCAAAAGAUUGGGGAAAUAGGAUCCGCGACACGUCUCGACCAGAAGCUUCCUUCCUCCGCCUCCACGAGGCUGCUCCUCCACCUGUCCGUGCGGCCACCCCUCCUCCCAGUGAACUGCGCGGCGACCUCCCCUGCCCAGACCUGAUCCCGCCGCGGCCCAGUCCGCAACGGUAUCCAACGGCCGGCCUGUUCCUCCUCUGCCGCCGAGUCGAGCGCCGCGAGGGCUGAUCUCGCGGAUUUUCGCCUGUUCCCGAGAGGCCAAUUGCGGAUAACUCGAGUAACUGCUAGUGCUACCAGGAAUCGUGUGGUGUGCUUUAUCUGUCUAGCUUGCCAAUCAUCUACAUAAAUUUCAAAGUGGGUUUACUUUCAGUCUGGAGGCUGAAAGAUAGGUUAACACUCUGCCAUCUGACCUUGUUCAUGCAUGCAUGGUUUGAAUGCUAACCACAAUUGAGUCCUGAAAAAGCAGACGCGGUGCACAUGCUUGCCGGCAGUAUGAAUAACGAUAACGAUAAUGUUAUUGACUUGAUAUCGGAUAGUGGUGAUGAUUUUGAUUCUGACUCUGACGAUCCAACUUCUACAAAUGUCACAUCUGGCGAGAAUGGCGGAGGGCAAUCAGUCUGCUUUCAGGACGAAGAUUUGUUGAGGAGCACUCCCUCUUCUUCCAGGUGUAAUAUAAAUGAUAAUGGUUCGGGGGACAGAACUUAUCCACAUUCAAAUUCGGGGCCAAGACACGAUUCUGGAAGGGCCUCUCUCUCGUCCAGUAGACUUGAUAUCGCAGUGAGGGAGCGUAAUGGUUUGGCAGUGGAUGCAAAUGGCAAUAACAAGAGGAUUCUUCCUUCAUCUUUUGCCAGUGGAAGCACGUCAAAAUCUACACAUCCAAGUGUUGCAAGUGAGAGCCGUAAACUCCCAUCACGUUUUACCAAUGGAAAUUCACAAAGGUUGGAUGAUAAUAGUAUAGGAACAAAUGAUGCCAAUGGCACUGGGCAGCCUUCAUCUUCAAGGUUCUCAAUCCGAAGCUACUCUGUGAAUGAUGUCUAUGUAUAUGAUAGUCCUAGUUCACAUAGGAUGCUGCCUGCAUCUUUUGGAGGCCAUAACUCUGCCAGUAACAAUGAACUUGCUAAUGUUAAUGACAUGCAAGCUCGUCCAAACCUAGAAAAUAGGUUUAUGGAUCCUGACGAGAGCGCAGUAUAUCAAGAGGCUCUUCAGAACAUUAGUCUGGAUAAAAGGGAAGAUGAUCUCGAUGAGGGUGUCUUAUCAGUAUCUCUGCUUAAGCACCAGAAAAUGGCAUUAGCUUGGAUGGUUUCGAAGGAGAAUAGUUCACAUUGUGCAGGAGGAAUUCUUGCAGAUGAUCAGGGUCUUGGGAAGACUGUGUCUACAAUUGCCCUUAUACUAAAACAGAAGAGUCAGCAGUCUAAGUUCAUGUGUGCUGAUUCAGAUCCUUUGAAAUCUGAAGCGCUAAACCUUGAUGAAGACGAUGAGGCAGUGACUGUUGUUGAUAAGGCGAAACAGUCUAUGAACGAUGAACCCAAGAAGGAUUUAGACGCUAGUUUAUCAACAGCAGCUAGUACUAGUGAUGUUAAACCAUCUAGUAGUCAUAUGGAUAUUGUUCCAAAUAGAAUUGUUGUUGAAAGCAAAGUUGAACGCAAGAAGACUAAAACAGGCACAUCAUCUGCAUCAUCGACCAUGCGAUCCAUGACAAGGCCAGCUGCAGGUACUUUAGUAGUAUGCCCUGCUAGUGUUCUUAAGCAGUGGGCUAAUGAAUUGAAUGACAAGGUUAGUCAAAGUGCUAGGUUAUCUGUUUUAGUCUACCAUGGUGGUGCAAGGACCAAAGAUCCAAGUGAGCUGGCAAAAUAUGAUGUCGUUGUCACGACAUACACAAUUGUGGCGAAUGAAGUGCCUAAACAGAAUGCUGAUGAUGACCAAGAUCAAAAGAAUGGGGAAGAAUCUUCUGUUGGUAAUAAAAGAAAACCACCAAGCAAAUCUAAGAAAAGGAAGAAGAAACUUAAGGAUUCAGAUAUUGACCUUGACAGUGGCCCAGUUGCCCGGGUACGGUGGUUUCGGGUGGUUCUUGAUGAAGCUCAGACGAUAAAAAAUUUCCGAACUCAAGUGGCUAAAGGCUGUUGUGGACUAAGAGCAAAAAGGAGAUGGUGCUUAUCAGGAACACCUAUACAAAAUUCAAUCGAUGAGCUCUACAGCUAUUUCCGUUUCUUGAAAUAUGAUCCAUAUUCUACAUAUAGCUCAUUUUGUACAAUGAUAAAGCACCCAAUUGCUAGAAAUGCAGUCCAUGGGUAUAAGAAACUACAAACUGUGUUGAGGAUAGUUCUCCUGCGUCGCACAAAAGAAACUAAGAUAAAUGGAGAACCGAUCAUAAACUUACCUCCAAAGACAAUUAAGUUGCAAAAGGUGGAUUUCACAAAGGAGGAGCGAGCUUUUUAUUUGACACUGGAAGAACGUUCUCGGCAACAGUUCAAGGAAUAUGCUGCUGCCGGAACAGUCAAACAAAACUAUGCCAAUAUCCUUUUAUUGUUGUUGCGCCUUAGGCAGGCUUGUGAUCAUCCUCUUCUUGUGAAGGGGCAUCAGUCGGUAUUUAAAGGCGAUGGUUCUAUAGAGAUGGCAAAACAACUUUCCAAGGAAAGGGUAAUAGAUUUGCUUGCAAGGCUGGAAGUAUCAGCGCUUUGUGCUGUAUGCCGUGACACACCUGAGGAUGCUGUUGUGGCGAUGUGUGGUCAUAUUUUCUGCUAUCAGUGUAUAUACGAGCGGAUAACAACUGAUGAAAACAUGUGCCCCGUCCCUAAUUGCAGAAACACGUUAAGUACUGAAUCAGUAUUUUCAUCAGGGACAUUAAAGAUUUGUAUCUCCGGCAAGACCAGUACUCAUGCGAUAGCGAGUUCAUCAGCAGACGAUGGGCUAUCUUCUAUCAGUCAAAGCAGUUACAUCUCCUCGAAGAUACAAGCGACCGUCGAUAUACUGAAUUCUAUCAUUAACAUGCAUGCUCUUACAGACAGUGAUACCAUUGAAUCAAAUCCAAACCGAGUAUCCCCUGUGAAAGCCAUUGUCUUCUCGCAGUGGACUGGCAUGCUGGAUUUGCUGGAGUUUUCACUGAACAGCAAUCUUAUACAGUACAGGAGACUAGACGGAACAAUGUCCCUCAAUUCAAGAGAUAAAGCCGUGAAGGAUUUUAACACCGACCCAGAGGUUAGAGUUAUGAUUAUGUCAUUGAAAGCGGGUAAUCUUGGUCUGAACAUGGUUGCUGCUUGCCAUGUAAUACUCCUUGAUCUUUGGUGGAAUCCUUAUGCUGAGGACCAGGCAAUUGAUAGAGCACACAGAAUUGGUCAGACUCGUCCUGUCACUGUCUCUCGUCUAACCAUUACAGAUACGGUGGAAGAUCGUAUUUUAUCUCUGCAGGAGGAAAAGAGAGCGAUGGUCAACUCUGCUUUCGGUGAAGACAAAUCCAGUGCCCACGCUACUCGGCUCACUGUAGAUGAUCUGAGGUAUCUGUUUAGGAUAUGAUUGGGAGGAGGAGAUGAUCCCUUGUUGCGUUGCUAGCUUUGGAAAGCGUCAAAGUGGUGGCAGCAUGUACGUUGCUUGCAAUCUACCUAUGUUCCGAUCGAUCCAGUUUUGUCCCUGCCCCGCCGAGGAUCCAGUUUUGUCAUGCUCCGAUCGAUCCUACAUGUGACAUCGGAUGGCCAGCUAGCUAGCAUGUCUAGUGUAACGUACUUGUGUCCCUGAGACCCUGAGGGGGCCGUCUAGUGUAACUGCCAUACCCCGCCCUGUAGGAGAAUUCUUGUGUGCUCUGUUCCCUGUGAUGACAGGAGAGAUCCAUAUGUAUAGUGUGUCAUUGACUCGUUGUACUGUGGCCAUUUACUUUUUCCUUUUUUGCAAUGUUCCCGAGUGCAUUAACAGACAGGUGGAC
This 3921-nucleotide ribosomal RNA is filed under the name Triticum aestivum (bread wheat). Its description in RNAcentral is "partial small subunit ribosomal RNA". The record is from RNAcentral. Lineage: Eukaryota; Viridiplantae; Streptophyta; Magnoliopsida; Poales; Poaceae.